CUACCAUGCAGUCGAGCGGUAGCACAGGGGAGCUUGCUCCCUGGGUGACGAGCGGCGGACGGGUGAGUAAUGUCUGGGAAACUGCCUGAUGGAGGGGGAUAACUACUGGAAACGGUAGCUAAUACCGCAUAACGUCGCAAGACCAAAGAGGGGGACCUUCGGGCCUCUUGCCAUCAGAUGUGCCCAGAUGGGAUUAGCUAGUAGGUGGGGUAAUGGCUCACCUAGGCGACGAUCCCUAGCUGGUCUGAGAGGAUGACCAGCCACACUGGAACUGAGACACGGUCCAGACUCCUACGGGAGGCAGCAGUGGGGAAUAUUGCACAAUGGGCGCAAGCCUGAUGCAGCCAUGCCGCGUGUGUGAAGAAGGCCUUCGGGUUGUAAAGCACUUUCAGCGAGGAGGAAGGUGGUGAACUUAAUACGUUCAUCAAUUGACGUUACUCGCAGAAGAAGCACCGGCUAACUCCGUGCCAGCAGCCGCGGUAAUACGGAGGGUGCAAGCGUUAAUCGGAAUUACUGGGCGUAAAGCGCACGCAGGCGGUUUGUUAAGUCAGAUGUGAAAUCCCCGGGCUCAACCUGGGAACUGCAUUUGAAACUGGCAAGCUAGAGUCUCGUAGAGGGGGGUAGAAUUCCAGGUGUAGCGGUGAAAUGCGUAGAGAUCUGGAGGAAUACCGGUGGCGAAGGCGGCCCCCUGGACGAAGACUGACGCUCAGGUGCGAAAGCGUGGGGAGCAAACAGGAUUAGA
Molecule: ribosomal RNA, 742 nt
Filed under: uncultured bacterium
Lineage: Bacteria
Description: bacterial SSU rRNA
Rfam family: Bacterial small subunit ribosomal RNA
Source: RNAcentral